Molecule: ribosomal RNA, 255 nt
Filed under: Enterobacter roggenkampii
Lineage: Bacteria; Pseudomonadati; Pseudomonadota; Gammaproteobacteria; Enterobacterales; Enterobacteriaceae
Description: partial 16S ribosomal RNA
Rfam family: Bacterial small subunit ribosomal RNA
Source: RNAcentral
CCAGAGAUGGAUUGGUGCCUUCGGGAACUCUGAGACAGGUGCUGCAUGGCUGUCGUCAGCUCGUGUUGUGAAAUGUUGGGUUAAGUCCCGCAACGAGCGCAACCCUUAUCCUUUGUUGCCAGCGGUUCGGCCGGGAACUCAAAGGAGACUGCCAGUGAUAAACUGGAGGAAGGUGGGGAUGACGUCAAGUCAUCAUGGCCCUUACGAGUAGGGCUACACACGUGCUACAAUGGCGCAUACAAAGAGAAGCGACCU